Podarcis lilfordi (Lilford's wall lizard) is the source of this 1077-nucleotide non-coding RNA. The record is from the annotation of a GenBank genome assembly. Lineage: Eukaryota; Metazoa; Chordata; Lepidosauria; Squamata; Lacertidae.
CAAGCUUCGCUCAAGUUGAGAAGAUGCUGCAAGAUUCAGCUUGUCUCUGAAGAGGAUGAGCUUCCUCGGUUGGAUGAACUCAGGACAGAUGCUGCCUGCGGUGCAAGGUGAGCAAAGGUCAGAUCUUCAGCCAUUAAACUUGCUGAAGAGGGGAAGGGGCACCUGAAGUGUACAUUUUAAACCAGCAUCAUACCAGUUUAAUAAUAAUGUUAUUAUUUAUAUCCCACCCAUCUGACUAGGUUCCCUGAGCCACUGUGGGUGGCUUCCAGCAAAAUACAAAAACACAAUAAAACAUCAAAAACUUCUGUAUGCAGGGCUGCUUUCAUAUGUCUUCAAGAAGACAUAUGGUUAUCUCCUUGACAACUAAUGGGAGGGCAUUCCGCAGGGCAGGCACCACUACCAAGAAUGCCCUCUGCUGGUUCCCUGUAACUUCACUUCUCCCAGUGAGGGACCUGCCAGAAGGCUCUCGGAGCUGGACCUCAGUGCCUGGACUUUAAACAGCCAUGCCUUCCCCCAAAAGAUCCUGGGAAGGGUAGUUUCCUCAAGAGUCAUUAAAGUUGUUAGGAGGCCCCUUUCCCCCUCACUGUGAUACAAUUCCUAGAGUGUUCUAGGAUUCAGAAUGUCCUAAAGAUUGCUGAGUCACCUGCUGAAAAUACCUUUCUUGUGUUAGCACACACCACCUUUCCCUCGGGGGGGUACAAGGAGAAAGGCCUCUGAUGGUGAAAGUAGGGUCCAGGUGGGUUCAUGUGGGGAGCUGCCCCAGAAAUUACUCAAAGGGGACUUAAGCACAAGAGCAUUCUCCCUGUUUGUGAUUCCCAGCAACUGGUAAUCAGAAGUAUACUGCACAACACCCCUUCGAUAGCUAAGCUGUGUCCAUUUUGUGUUUGCACAGAUCUUUGUGGCUCAGGACCCCAAUAUCUCCUGGAAUGUCUCUCCCAAAAUGAAAGUCUCUAGCCACUUAGAUCUUCAUCUAAGCCCUUCUCCAGGUCCCUCCUUCAAGGGAGGCUCAGAAGAUGGUGACAAAGGAGAAGGCCUUUCCACUGGCAACUUCUCAUCUGUGGAGCCACAUCUUCUGGC